Molecule: transfer RNA, 72 nt
Filed under: Trichobilharzia regenti
Lineage: Eukaryota; Metazoa; Platyhelminthes; Trematoda; Strigeidida; Schistosomatidae
Rfam family: tRNA
About the family: Transfer RNA (tRNA) molecules are approximately 80 nucleotides in length. Their secondary structure includes four short double-helical elements and three loops (D, anti-codon, and T loops).
Source: Rfam by way of RNAcentral
GCGUUAGUGGUUCAGUGGUAGAAUGCUAGCUAACCACGUACCUGGUUCGGGGUUCGAUUCCCAGCAAGCGCA